RNAcentral lists this long non-coding RNA (204 nucleotides) under Salvia miltiorrhiza (redroot sage). RNAcentral describes it as "long non-coding RNA (SMIL_LNC013020)". Lineage: Eukaryota; Viridiplantae; Streptophyta; Magnoliopsida; Lamiales; Lamiaceae. The record is from RNAcentral.
AAAAAAAACAGUUGGGUUACCUCCCAACAAGUGCUUAAUUUAACGUCUAGAGCUCGACGAUACCUCAAAAACUCAUGGAGGUCGGAAACAGCACUCUAACCAUUGGAAAGCUUUUCUACUCUUGGGUGCUUUCUCCACCAAAACACUUCUCUUGGCUCGAACAUCCUCCACAAGCAUUGCCCCCUUCUCAUUCUUGUUCCGAAA